CAAUUAUAAUUAAAAUAUAACUGUUUGAUUAUAUAAUUGAAAUUGCUUCCAUUUGAUUAGUUUGGAUCCUUUCCAUAGCCAUGCCCCUCUUUUUGAAUAAAUCAGCCUUUGUACUCUGUGCUGCAGGAACAUUAAUGUAGGUGCAGUCAUGGGCUGAAGAAUACAUAUCUGUUUCAAUCCACAGUAAUCCAUAUGAAGACAGUACUGAUUCUUCUGCCCAUAUCAGGAAUGAUGAA
RNAcentral lists this long non-coding RNA (236 nucleotides) under Anser brachyrhynchus (Pink-footed goose). RNAcentral's name for it is "lncRNA (ENSABRG00000001993.1)". The record is from RNAcentral. Lineage: Eukaryota; Metazoa; Chordata; Aves; Anseriformes; Anatidae.